CAGCCGGGGCGCCGAGCGGGACAGCGCCGGGCCGGACAGCGCCGGGCGGUGCGCAGCCCGGCCGAGCUCCUGCCCGUCCCUGCGCCCGGCCGGAGCCAUGGAGGAGUUCCUGCAGCGCGCCCAGUCCCGGCUGAACAGGAGCAAACGCCUGGAAAAAGUCCAUGUUGUUCUUGGGAAUAAACCCUGUGAUUUGGAUUCACUGAUUUCUACCCUGGCCUACGCCUACUUUCUAGACAAGGUCAGUCCUCCUGAUGUUCUCUGCUUACCUGUGUUGAAUAUACCAAGAAAAGACUUCAGCUACUUUACUGAAACAAGAUUUAUUUUGGACGAGCUGAAAAUCCCAGAGUCAUUCCAUAUCUUCCGAGAUGAAAUCAAUUUGCAUCAGCUGAAUGCUGAAGGGAAAUUGUCUUUAACGCUUGUAAACAGCAACAUGCUGACAAGUGAGGAUAAAAGUUUGGAAUCAGCUGUUGUCAAAGUCAUCAAUCCAGAUGAGCAAUGUGACAGGAGCCUGGAGUUACAAGCAUGUUCUUCCUCUUUAGUCGUAAAAGAGAUUCUUCAGAAGGCACCAGAGUUAAUCACUCAGCAACUGGCUUAUCUCCUCAGAGGGAGCAUUCUCUUCAAGUGCAUGUCUUUGGAAGCUGACAGAAUGACAGAGCAGCAGGAGAAAGUACUGUCAGUUUUGGAGGAAAAGUUUCCAGAUCUUCCACCACGAGAGGAAAUUAUCUCUGUUCUCCAGGAGACUCAGUUUAACACCCAAGGUGUGAGCAUUGAGGAGGUUAUGCUCAAGGAUCUCAAGGAGAUUUCAGAUGGAGAAAUCAAAGUAGCGAUUAGCACUGUGUGUGUGACACUGGAGGACUGCAAAUUACACAGGAGUCUCAUUGGUGAUCUGAAAGUAUUCAUAGAUAAAUAUGGGUUUGAUGUACUUGUCAUUUUGGCCAACUGCUUGUCAGAUGAGAAGCAAACAAAACAACAAAUAGCAGUAUACUCGGAAAAUGUAGAGCUAGGCAAUCAGAUCUGCUGUGAAUUAGAAGAAUGUCAGAAUCCUUGUUUGGAGCUGGAUCCUCUAGAAUGUGAAUGUGACCAAAUUCUCAUUUAUCAUCAAGAAAAUUCUUCAGUGACCUGUGAUCAAAUUCUUCUCCUAAUUAAGGAAGUUAUAAAUAGAAGGCAACCAGAAAUGGUGUCAAACAGUAGAACUUCUUCUACUGAAGCUGUUGCUGGAAGUGCUCCACUUUCACAAGGAUCUUCUGGUAUUAUGGAGUUAUAUGGUUCUGAUGUAGAACCACAGCCCAGUUCUGCCAAUUUUAUAGAAAAUCCUCAAGAUCUAAAUGGGUCUGUGCAAGCCCACAUUGACGUUAAUGUAGACCUUGUGAGUCCAGACAGUGGCUUGGCUACCAUUAGAAGCAGCCGGUCUUCCAAGGAGAGUUCUGUUUUUCUUAGUGAUGAUAGCCCUGUUGCAGAAGGUGCUGCUUCACAUCACAGUCUUCUGCCUGGCUUUGAUUCCUACAGCCCUAUUCCUGAAGGAGCAAUAGCUGAAGAGCAGAAGUCUCAGUCAGGAAGCAAUAGCGAUAACUUUGAUCUUUUCAAUUUUGAUCUAGCACCCAUGGUUACAGCUCCAUCUGAGUCAUCUUCUCGUUCUGUUGAUUGUUCCCCAGCAGAAGACUAUUUUCUCAAUAAUGAUUCAUCAGAAGGGCAUCAGCUUACUCUGAAGAAAAAACUUGAUGAGACAAACCUAUUAGAAAAUGAUACAGUAAAGUAUUCAACUGACUUACUUACAACAAAAAUUGAGGAAGACAAUCUGGCUGAAUUUGAUGAGAAUACAGGAGAAAUAUGUGAGAAAACGUCAAGUUUGAUUGAUUUAGUUGAAGGUGAUUCUUCUUCACCAGAAGUGUUGAAAUCUGCUGAUUCAAGAAUUCCACCAACUCCUAUGAAUAGUCUUGUAGAUACUUCACCAUUAGAUAAUGGGCAGCCUUUAAUUUUCUCACAAGAUGUCAUAAAAAAAAUUAAUGAAAUAGAUGGCACAAAUUACUCUCCGUCUCGUGUUAGAUAUGGGAGCUGGUGGGAUGGCUUUGAUCUAGAUUCCAGAAAUGCUGAUGCAUGGAGUUCAAGUGAACAGGAAUCUGUAUUUCAGAGUCCUGUCUUAUGGAAAGAUUCUAAAGAAAGUCCUUUGCUACGAGAACAUACUGAUAGAAGAGCCUCAGAUUCUGUGUUCCUCCAAAAACAGCCAAAACAAAUGGAAUAUAUGAAAGCAGGUCUAUGGGAUAAUCAGUUUAAAGAAGAUAAUUGGAACCGUGAGAAUCAAGAGAAAAACAGUGAACAUUCCUGUUUGCAAACUGCUUCUUUAGAUGGGACAAAUCAAGAAGUGGAGAGCUUUACAGACCUGUGGAAAGUCAGCCAACCACCACCUGUGAUGUCAGAUGCAUGGUGUAGCAGUGAAGGAAAAGGUAGCCAGCUAGCUGGAGACUCUUACAAAAUCUGGACUGAGUUUGAUGAAGGAAAUGCUGGUAAAUCCUCAGAAAAUGUAUGGAACAUGUGCAAACUAGAUAGAGAGUUAAAAUCGGUGAAUAUUCCUGGCCCCGGUGAUAUUCGGGCCAUAUCAAAAACUGGUUUAUCACAUUCUUCAGAAAUCUCAGUGGACAAUGAAACUGAAAACCCAGAAGUGUGGGAUAAAGGAAGGUGUUAUUCAAUAGAAGACCAUGGCAAAUCUGAAAAUGUAACUUUUGUUUUCAACAAUACGCAAAAUAAUUCCAAGCUGAACACAGGGGACAAAACUGUGUUUGGUGAUCCUAAAUAUAGACCAAAACAAUUUGAAAAUAUAGAUACCUGGAAUAUGUAUGAUAAAAACAUCAGAAAGGAAGUAACAGAAGUAGUGGUGCCAUGGGAGGAUACCUUCUUAUAUAAAAACUCAGAUCUUAGUUCGUCAAAUAUAGCAGAAGAUUUAGUUGUUUCUCCACCAGACACCAAUUAUUCAACAUCUGAUUCAUAUAUAUCACCUACAUAUGUGGAAGAUGAAAGAGAAAAUGAGGACAAGGGUUUUGAAGAAGAAACAGUUACUGGUAAAUUCAUGAACACAAACUUGGCUGAAUCAAAAGUACUUCAGAAAUCAAGUAAGGAACCAUUAUCUCCUAACAAUGUGCCUUUUACAAAUGCUAGAAAUACAGAUAUCUGGAACACUCCCCUAAAUAACAUCGCCCAGUUACAAGAAAGAAAUUCUGAAAUUCCAGUUAUUUCUGCCUCUGCUAAACCUUGCCUUAAUUCAGAACAAACAGCUGAUGUAUGUUUUUCAACUGAAACGUGUAGCAGUGAAAAUAACUUUCCUGUAUCUGAAAGCAGAAGAGUAAUACUGGCAUAUAAUCAAACAAUGAAUGACUUAUCACCAUCACAGAAUGAAUUAAAUACUAGACAGAGAGCAGCUAACAAGGCAGAAGCAGUGGGCAGCAUAGAAGACACAAACACCUCUACGCCAACUUCAGAAAAUGAGAAUGGUUUGGAUCUGAAAAUAUGUGACUUAGGGAGUGAGAUGCUUAGUAAGAAUGCAGCACAAGACACUGUCAGUAUUGAUGAAGAGCUGGGUAUUGAGAAUUCAGUGCACCAGCUGGACUCAUGGCGUUUACAGAGUGAGCAGAGUUGUGAGGAAGGCUGGGAUAAUGACACUGUCAUCUCUAAGGAAGGACAAGAAUGCAAGAGAAUACAUGUGUCAAGUGGGCAGCAGAUGAUUAAUGACAUUUGUAAUAAACCAGUGCAAGAGGACAAUGAAUCUUCAGGUAAGACAGAUUUGGAAGAAAAUGAGCCAACAACUGAAGUUGCCAGCUCCCCAGAAAAACUGAGAAAUAGUUUGGAAGUAUUAAUCACAGAGAAUGUGUCAUUUUCAAAUCAAAGCAAUCCAGUUAGUCAGGAAGAGAGACAAGAUGUGUUGCAGUGCAGUUUAGAAUCUUCAAUUAUUUCUGAAGGAGGCAGAGAUUAUGAAUUUUUUGAUGACCCCUUACCACAAAAUUACAAUCAUACUGAAAUGUCACAGCUGCUUUCUCAGGGAACUGGAAAAGAGGCUGUGGUGACAGAGGAUGCAACAAGUCCCAAGAUGGAAAGUAUUUCUGAAAGUUCUGAUAAGGGUAGUGAUCAUCCUGAAAAUGAUUCUUCUAAAUUACCUGGAAGCUCAGGUGUCUGGAACGACUCUGGAAAGAAUGGUUGUGGCCAAGCCAUAUCAAUUCCUUUGAUGGAUAAACCACAAGAACCUCUGGGAGAAGGGCAAGAAUGCUUACAUGAAGUGGCUCCUAACCAUCCAGACAUUUGUAAUUCUGGUAAUUCUUUCAAAAAUAGUUUAGAACUGAUGAGGACCAAUGAAAAUUUUUUCACAGAUGAGUUGAAGAAAAAUCCUUCUGGAUUUGUUAGUGUUCCUGAUAUUACACAUAUGUCUGUGGUAGAAAAUUCAUUUUCACUUGAAAUAGCUUCUGGGAGAAGUGAAGACUCUGAAAAUGUAGAAACUGCUACAAAUCUUUGUGGAGAGCCAUUUGCAGUGCUUAAUGACAAUUUUCUCCAAACUUCUUGGGAUUCACAGCCAUGUGAAGAUUUGCAGUCUCCUGGAACAAGUCCUGAGGCAAGUGAAAUCCCUGAAAUAGCAAAUACCACAAGCAGCCUUUCAAAAGAUAUACAGAUCAAAAGCUAUUUGGAAGAAGAUAAUAUGUGGAAUAAUUCAAUAAAUUAUUAUACACACUCAAGUGGAACAAGUCCUGACUUGAGUGAUGCAUCUGUGAAUGUGUGGGGAGACUUUCCAGUUGCUAGUCAUCAUGAAAGAAGCAGGGAUGUGUGGGAGAUGAAAAAUAAUAAAAAUCUUGCGGAUUCUUUUAAAAAGCAGGAAUUUGGGAAUGAACAUGAAGAAGGAUUUGAAGCAAGCACUGAAAAGAACAAAGUUCCUAAAAGCUUAGAUUUUUGGAAUGCCCAUGUAGAUGAUGAUACUGUAUCUUCUUUAUCAAGUCCUGACAUAAAUGAGGAUUCAGAGAUUUCAGAGGCAUGUCCAGAAGUGAUUAAUGAAGAUUCAGUGUGUGAAAACAAACAGCACAAAGGAGCUGAAAAUGAAGAGGAUUGUGAUCAGUCCAAUGCAACAAGUCCUGGACCUAAUGAAAACAGUUCAGGUGCAAAAACUAAGGUGGGAGAGAAGGUCCUGGUAAGCACCUUCAAUGAAAAUUCUGAAACAACUGAAGCCAAAAAGGUAUUGCAGGAGGAUGGGACUGUUGACUUUAUUGAUUAUAAUAUGACUAUUCAGUCUACUACAGGCCACUGUGAAACACCUGACGAAAUAACUCAGGUGAGUAUUUUCAAUGAAAAACCAGAUAGUGUGGAAGACUCAUAUUUGUAUCAAAUGAAUGAAGAUCCUGCAUCAACUUCUGCUGCUGGUGAUAAAGAAGAGCAUUCUUUAAAAGCUGUAGAUAGGUGGAGUAUGUCACUAGAAGCUGAUUCAAGGACUAGUCCAAAAUCCACAGUAGGAACAUCUGAUUUUCUAGAUAAUAGUUCAGAAUGGUGGAGUUCAGAACCUUGUGAAGAAAAGCAAUUGGAAGAUCAGUAUUCAGUUUCAAGUCACUCUGCAACAAAUCAGCCAGGAAACAGUAAAGAGUACUCCUGUGGCUCCCCUUCACAAGGUGAACAACUAACAGAAACACAUUUCACAGAUCCAGGUAAUGAUGAAAAUCCACCUGCCCCCCUGUACUCUGAUGAAAAAGAAAAUGAAAGACUAGUACAUUCUAUCAGUAGUCCUGAUGGUCAGUUAAAUGAAAACAGUUCAUUUAAUCAAUUUGAUUCUUUCACACUGGAUAAAGAAGAAAGGGAGUUGAUAGAGCAGUUGUUUUCUGCAGAUGACGAAAAUCAACUGUCUCCACAGAACUCUUUUUCAGAUGAGGAACAAGCUAUACCAAAUACAGCAGUUGAAGCAGUCACUGUACUGGAUCUACCAAAAGACGAUGAGGGGAAUGCAAAUCUCAUUCCUCAAGGACAGCAGAAGGACACCUGUGAAAGAGUAGAAGUGCUCAACUCUGUGCCAGAUGCUUUCACUGUAGAAGACUUGUCUUUUGAAAUGGCAGAAAAGUCAAGUCCAGAGUGGAAUAUAUUAGUUCCCCAAACUGCACUUAUCCCAGAUAUUUUACAGGAUAACACACAAGGAAGUAAUCAACAGUUUUCAGUGGAACCUGACCUGUGGACUAAUGCUGAGGAGACUGUCACUUUGAAAUCAGAUGGUGAAAAUCCUGAUAUUUUAAGUCACUGUGACCAAGACAAUGGUUCAGAGUCAUCAAGCAGUCCUGAUGUGUGCCAGGAAUAUGGAGCUAAACAUGCCUCUAUCCCAUCUUCUCAGAUUGCAGUGGAGCCUGAAGACAAAGACAGUCAGCCAAUUCAUACAAGAUCAAACGUGAAUAAAGAGGUAGUUUUUGAUUCAAAGUGUCAGCUGGUAGUGCAGAAAGAGAUGCACUCUGAAAAUGGCAGCCCCCAGGACUAUGAACCAGUAAAGACCAAUGAAUUCUAUCAGCUCAUGUCUUCUAAUCCUCAGGAGCCUCCUGAAUUUGCAAUUCCAGAAGAACACAGCCUAGAAAAUAAGCUGGUAUUUGACCCUGUUGAAUCAAGUGAAAAUGCCAGUGAAGUUAUAAAAGUAACAUCCUUAGAUGUGAAAGACACCUUCCGUGGAAGUUUCACUAAUGCAAGCCAUCAACGAGCACCAAGGGAUACAGCUCAAAUAGCAACCUCUCAAAUGCAUUUGCUUCCCAUGGAUUUCAGUCAACCUGAUAGGGAAGAACAAAGCUUAAAAGAAAUCAGUCCCUUGGAUGAAGUUGUAAAAUAUUCUGAUACUGACCAUAUGGCAAUAACUGGUGUUGAGCUAGAUAGGCCAGAAGAAUGUGUGGAUAACUCUGACACAGGGCUAGCACAUAGUAUCAGGGACACCUCAGCGACUAGUGUCCUGGCAGGCACAUGUGGUGGAAUGAACAUACUGACACUGCUAGGCAGUGAGGCAGCAGAAGGGAAAUCAGAGGAUGAACGGACACUUUUCCCCAAAUCCUUUCUACCUGGUGGUAAUGAAGGUAAUGAAUCUGAUUCAAAUAAUCAACUGUUUGAUGACACAGCAAAAGAAUAUGAAGCUGUAAUUGAUCCUGUGUUUAAGGAAAUACCCAAUGACCAAUCACCAACGAUGUGUACUCCACCAUCCUCUGCAUCUUUUGAUGCUGAACCGUCUGGCAGCAGAGAGUAUGCAAACGGCAAGCUCUUGUUACAGCAGCCAUUUUAUGACAGUGUUUCUUUGGAAAAACGAUUGCCAUUGUCAGCUCCUCUGGAAGGUGCAGAGGGCAUCCUAAUGACGGAAGAUAAGGUGUCUGAGACAUCCACGGAGUGUCUUGAGGAAAAUUUUACCUCAGUACCAUCGCUCUCCAUGUCUGAAGUAACCCCCCCACAUAUGGAUUUCUUGACAGGAAAAUCUGAAACAACCGAUCCUGACUCACCACCAGGUGGAGAUAGAAGAUCAUGUGACGAAGCUGGCACUGACUCCCUACUUUGUAGGGAGGAAAAGCUGAGAAAUUCCCAUAAGAGCCCUGAACUGGAAAGUACAGACAGUAAAGAAGAUGUGAGGAUGCAGGUGUUACCGGCUUCACUGGAGAUGGAUUACAUCCUUGUUACUGAGGAAAAAAAUACACCUGCAACAAAUGAUACCCUUGAAAGAAGCAAAAUUGAUUUUGCAUUUCAAGAAUCCCAUGAGGGCUUUUCACCAGGCUCCUUGGAUGCAUUUCAGGCAAUAUCCAUUUCAAAUGAAAGCAAAGAUCAUCUUGUUUGUGGGACUGGAUGGGACACUGUUCACUUAGAAGAGAAAAAUUCUUCUGCUGUGCCUCAAAAGCUGGAUGGUGAAAAGAAAUCACAGGAAAGCUGUGGGCAAGACGAGGGUUGGAUUAUAUUGGGACAAAGUGAAGUAAGUGACCUAUCACCUGAAGAAAUUUCUGCCAAGACAGAGAUGCCAAAAUCAGAGUCUGGACAUCCUGGUGAAGAACUGGCAUCUGUUGUAGCGCAGGAACUGAUUCUUGACACUUGGACAGAAUUUCAGGUAGAAACUCCCCUUCAGAAACCUUCUGAGCAUGAAAGCUGUUCUCCUUCAGAUGGCCUGGCUGCUGAGAACGUGAGUUCAGGCAUUGCAGGAACAUCAGAGUUGCAGGUAGCUGGUGGUGAUACUACAUGGGAAGCCAAUUCUCAAGAGAAGCUUGGGAGCAACGUAGGAACAGAACAAGAAAUGAAGGAGGAAACGGUUCUUUUCAACAGUGAAAGAGAAUUGAAUCAAAGAUCAGGGUUGGUACAAGAGGAUAUGGGAAUGGACAUCCCCUUAGCUGAGGGUGUACUAAGCCCCAGAAGCCCCAGUUCUACGGAGAUGAGACCUGAACCUCCCAAUUCACUUGAUCUUAAUGGUUCCCAACCCAGAAGGAUAAAGCUCACUGCUCCAAACAUCAAUCUGUCAUUGGAUCAGAGUGAAGGGUCUAUAUUGUCUGAUGAUAAUUUGGAUACACCUGAUGAAAUUGACAUUAAUGUAGAUGACCUUGACACUCCUGAUGAAGCUGACUCUUUUGAAUACGCUGGACAAGAAGAGCAGACUGCUGCUAAGGAUGCUUCCCAGGAGGAGUCUGAAUCAAUCCCUGAGUACUCUGCUGAAGAGGAGCGAGAGGACAACAGGUUGUGGAGAACGGUGGUUAUUGGAGAACAAGAGCAGAGAAUUGAUAUGAAAGUCAUUGAACCAUACAAAAAGGUCAUUUCACAUGGAGGAUACUAUGGUGAUGGUCUGAAUGCUAUCAUUGUGUUCGCGGCAUGCUUCUUGCCAGACAGCAGUCGAACUGAUUACAACUAUGUCAUGGAAAAUCUUUUCCUAUAUGUAAUCAGUACCUUAGAGCUGAUGGUAGCUGAAGACUAUAUGAUUGUCUACUUGAAUGGAGCAACACCAAGAAGAAGGAUGCCUGGAUUGGGUUGGAUGAAAAAAUGCUAUCAGAUGAUUGAUCGACGAUUACGGAAGAAUUUGAAGUCAUUUAUAAUUGUUCAUCCAUCAUGGUUUAUCAGGACAAUUCUGGCUGUAACACGACCUUUUAUAAGCUCUAAGUUCAGCAGUAAGAUACAGUACGUCAACACGCUGGCAGAGCUUCGUGAGAUGAUUCCAAUGGAAUAUGUGCAUAUACCAGACAGUAUUGUCAACUCUGUCCACUGGGCAUGCCUCAGACCCCUGCUGCUUCUCUGUCUCUGCCUCCAAGCGAGCUAAAUAAGGACUUACAAAUUUAAGAACUAGCUGCCUCUCAAAUGAUCCAGAAAUGGCUUCAGUGGAGCAGGACAUCGACAUGACCCUGAAGUAAGAAGCAUCAUUGCCAGGCAUUUGAAGAAGAGGGUUCACAUGGAUUUUCAUCACCCAGACGAUCACAACCACGCCGUACAAUAAGUGAUUUGGUCAAUUGUGUUUGAUUUAUAAGUUUCCCCUGUUAUUCAGCAGUCCAGGAAGACCAAAAGGGCCAGUCCUAUUGCCACAGAAACAGCAGAAUUUUGGGUCCUGGUUAUUUUUGUUGUUUUCAGAAACAGUUUUCAUUAGGAAAGCUAUAUCAUCUAUCAUUGGUUUCUCUGUGUGUGCCAUUUCUGUUCAAAAGGAUACCAUUUUACCAACAGUGUGCCUCAUGAAUAGGUCAAUGAGGAUGGGGAUUUUUUAAUUUUUUGUCUUCAGCAUAUUAAUGUUUAUGCAUAGCUGAAUGCUAUAGUUAUUGUUACAAUAAGUGUUAGUUUGCUUGUGUCACAGAGCAGCAGCAACUUUACUGUUUAAAAGUAACUUCAGAAAUUAUUCAGGACUUUCUUGAAUUUGACAGGCCGUGUUAGAUCAGGCUUUGGGCAGCCUGUCAUAGUGAAGGGGUGUCCCUGCUCAAGGCAAAGGGGCUGGAACUAGAUGAUUCUUAAGGGCCCUUCUGACUCAAAGUAUUCAUACUUUUAUGAAUUUGUUUUUCUUGAGGUCUGAAAAGUCUUUCCAUCUUCAUUAAAUGACUUCUUGUUUGAUCAGAGAAAACUGGGAUAUAGUAAAAAAUAAUAAUUAGUCUCAUUAGACUUCCCAGAGGAUGAAUAACUGAAAUUCAUUUUAAUUUAAUAAUUCAGUUUGGUAUAUUUAUUUUAGGCAUAAUUUCCUAGAAGCAGCUAAUCCUGUAAAUUACUUUCAUAUAUUCUAAAAUCCUUGGAGCAUUAAUUUAUUGCUGCUUUCUAAGUCUGUUUCUUCCAGAGCACUUUUUUGAAAUUAUGAGUCUUCAAAUGACAUCCUGUCUCCAGUUGUAAAGGCUAUUAUUUCUCUGAAUAUGAAUCAAAUAUUAUUUCCUACUGGGAGCUGAAAGCUGGGAGUCAUACUCAUUUGUUAGGAAUAUUUGUUAAAAUCUUGCUCCAAGAGUUUCUAUUAGAUUUAAAAAAAAGUCUUUUAAUGGUAUUUAUUGUCUGUGUCACAGAACACACCAGUAAAAACAUAAACGGGAAAAACCCUAAGCAUCCUUUGUUUGCUGGGGUCCUAUUUAUUUGCACAAAAGAUACUACAGCAAGUCCUACUCCUUACUGGGAAAUAGCUUCAGUCUCUCAGAUCACGCUUCUACAGAAGUGUGCAAAUUAAUUAUCUAGUGAUUUCUGUUUGACUACUUUAAAAAGAUUAGAGUCAAGAAAAUUAUAAAUGUUUUCUCUUACCCUAAUGAAUACACGUAGGCACUUUCCAAACCUGCUGACCUUUCCAAACUCACCUGCCUUUUGGGAAGUCCUAAUGGGAGUCUUACUAUUACAUAAUCACUGAAAUAUUAUUCUUUUUUCACAAGAUUUUUCUAUGCUUUAGUAUUGUGUCUGUGGAUUUUUCACUUUGUAAAGAAAUCCUUAGACAUAACAAUUCAAGGUAAGUUGCACCUCAUUGGUGUGGUCUAAUUCUAGUCCUUUCAGUUCGGAAUUAGUGAUAAAAGAGAAAACAAGCAAAGUAUUUCUUGGGGCAUAAAGUUUAAGCAGAAACAGUAUAGCAUGAGCCUUCAUGUUUUCAGUAGGAUCUAAACUGCAAGUUCUAUUCAGUCCUUCAUUUAAAGAUUUGAUGGGAUUUUUUGUGGUUUGCACAUUUCCAGUUCUGUCCAUUUCUGUGUCUUGUAUUUGCAAGGGAGUCUGCAGGCAGUGAAGCAAGUGUCUGUCAUUGUGUGCAUAGUUGUUCAGCUACUGCAAUGAAGACUGACAAAGUUGUCAGAAAGGCAGAAGAGUGCUUUCUUAUUGGCCAAGAUGAAAACCGAAAUAUGUGUCCUCUGCUCUGUGCUGGUAUCUUUGUCUGCCUUGCUGGUCUGCUGUAUCACGUCUGUCAGUUCCUGUAAAUUUUCACAAAGGAAGGGCCUGAUCCUGCUGACCAUUGUUGCUGCUCUGUAACCUUGUCCUAAACUAGGGUCUGGUAGUCUCCACCUUUUCUCAGAUAUUUGAAUCCUGGCUUGUGUCUGCCUUAUAAAAGUGCUGUCACUUAGUAUAUUGGGGAUAAUGUUUUAUGUACAGAUUAAUAUUUGUAUUGACUUCCUGAUGCUAAUUAAGCUUCACUAAGAUCUAAACGAUUAAAAGCAUUUAGUAGCAUGAAGUUGCAUCUUUUGUAGACCUGUAGUUGAAGCCUCUUAAGACAAGCCACAUGACCUGUGUUAUGCAAUAGAUAAGAAAAGUUUCCACUAGAAGUGAAGUUCACCACAAAGCAGAGGUUCAGCACAAAUCUUCAUUCACUCUUUGAGACCCUAUGUGGGGUAUGAGAGGUUUGUGAUUUUGAUGGUGGACAUCAGCUCAGAGUUUAAUUUAAUUCUACUUGCUUUGUGUGAAAUUACUAAGCAGCAAAGUUACAAAUUAAUAUUAUUAUUAUGGGCAGAAUAAUGGUGGCAUCCUGAAAUGAAAUUUGUUUAAGCCAAAUGGGACGUUAAAACAAAAUGGGGCAUUGAUGUGAUAGUUAAAAUAUGAUUGCAGGAUCAAAGUGUGGUUAUCUUUGCUUAUUAAUAUAUUUUGAAAAGUUUUUUAAUGUUAUGAUAAGGCAAUUCUAUGUUAUACUAACAAUAACAUAUCAAUAUUAAUAAAUCAGUAGUUUGUUGAAAGAGAAAUAUAGUACGUAUAAUUGCACAGAUACAAGCUUUUAUAUAUGGAUUUUUUCUACUGUGUAUCAGAGUGCUCAGAUGAAAUAUAAAUUAGUAGUUGCAAAUUUUUUUGUUAAAAUACUUAUGCUGACUUAAAUUAGAGAUUAAGCAAUACAAGGAUAUCUAAUAGCAUUGUAUGGAUAUAUAUACCUAUGAAUCAGAAAUAAAGCAUUGCAACCCA
Molecule: RNA transcript, 12309 nt
Organism: Passer montanus (Eurasian tree sparrow)
Lineage: Eukaryota; Metazoa; Chordata; Aves; Passeriformes; Passeridae
Gene: PRUNE2
Gene name: prune homolog 2 with BCH domain
Exons: 19
Source: RefSeq, a predicted model, not a curated record